AAGACUAUAGACCUGCGGAGUACCUGCGGAAGGAUCAUUACCGAGUUUACAACUCCCAAACCCAUGUGAACAUACCUAUCGUUGCUUCGGCGGGAUCGCCCCGGGCGCCUUGUGUGCCCCGGAUCCAGGCACCCGCCGGGGGACCUUAACUCUUGUUUUAUUUAGAAUCUUCUGAGUAGUUUUUACAAAUAAAUAAAAACUUUCAGCAACGGAUCUCU
This 218-nucleotide unclassified non-coding RNA is filed under the name soil metagenome. Its description in RNAcentral is "partial contains 5.8S ribosomal RNA, internal transcribed spacer 2, and large subunit ribosomal RNA". The record is from RNAcentral.